CUAGCAUUCUCUUCCCUUCCACAUUUUGGAGGCAACGCCCUGCAUCACGGUCCUCAAAUACACCCUCACCUUCUAUCCUCACAUGGAAAAGUCUGUCUGCAGGUAUCUCUACUGCUUCCUCCCUCUUUUCCUUUAGAUCUCUGCUUAAAUGUCACCUCAACAGACAGGUCUCUACUGAGACCCACUACCAUUCACAUCUCAUUGUUAUGUCUGAUAGUAUAUUAUGUAUUUGUCUUACAUAUUAUAUAAUAUUUAUUUAUAUACAUUUGUUGUUACUCUCAUUAUUUCUCAUCACAAGAUGAAAUAUGGGUUUUAACUGUUUUCAAUAUCAGACACAUAGUUGGUACCCAAUAAAUAUUUGUUGAAUAAAUUAAUGAAGAUUUGAUGAAAUAACUCAAUGUCAUUCUAUUUUCCCAGAAUAUAUUACCUUAACACAUGUAACAUUCUCUACAAGCUAUGAAUGUAAUAUAACCAAUCUAUUUUUUUUUCUUUUCUAUAAUCUUAAACUAUGAAGCUCAGUAAAAGCCAUUUGAAGGUUUUGAGUAUUAUUAUAUGUAAGUUUAGUACUAUUUUGAGUAUAAAACCUAGAUUGAUUUUUCUUUCAGAAUUUUACAGGUAAUAGUCUAUGUUCGUUUAUAUUAAUAAGUCAGGAAUCAGCCUAUUUUUUUCUUUAUUUUAGUGUAAUCUCUCUAGUCUAUCACUGAACUUAUACUUUAUCUUUAAUUUUCUACAGUUUAACUCUGAAAGUCUCAAAAGUAGGUCAACUUAUUCCUCUUAUUUUAUUUGAGUUUGAAAGUCUUCUUGAAUCUCUAGUUUGAUGUAUUUUACCAUUUUGAAAAAGAUAGCCAUCAUCUAUGUAAAUAUCUCCUCUGUUUCAUUCCCUCAUUUAUUUCCUUCUAGAAACUUAAUUACACUAAAUUAAAAUGUUACUCUAUCCUUUUUUUCUCCAACCUUUUCUUCUGUAUUUUUCAUUUUUUUUUAUCUGUUUUUCAUCCUGAAGGUGUUUUUCCUACCUAUAUUCCACUAAUUAUAUCUUCACUUGUCCUUAAUCUACUUUUGAAUAUACUCAGUUAAGAUCUUAAUUUUUAAUAUGAUUUUAGCUCCCAAAUAUUUUUGUUUACUCUUUCAGUUCUGCUUUUUGGUUUUGUUUUGUUUUGUUUCUUUUUAGGGCCAUACCCACGGCAUAUGGAGGUUCGCAGGCUACAGGUUGAAUUGGAGCUGCAGCUGCAGGCCUACACCAUAGCCACAGCAACACAGGAUCUGGGCCACAUUUGCGACCUAUACCACAGUUCACAGCAAUGUUGGAUCCUUAACCCAUUGAGUGAGGCCAGAGAUUGAACCUGCAUCCUCAUGGAUACUAGAUGGAUUCAUUAAUCACUGAGCCAUGACAGGAACUCCUGCUCUGCUAACUUUAAAAAACAGUUUCCAGCUAACUACUGAAAUUCCCUAUAUCUUGUUCUUUCUCUCCUUGAAUAGAAAAGCAUAAUUAUUUUAAACUAUCUCAGAACUGCAAUUACAAUAUCUCAACCCCCUAAAAGUCUGUUUCUAUUUUCUCUUGUUAUGUCUAAUUUUCAUUCAUGAUAUCUCAUAGCAUUAUGUGUAUAGUUAUGUUUUAUUGCAUGCUAAACACUGGAUAUGAAAAAUUGCUUUUAGAAAUAAUCUGAGGCCUAGAAUGAGGUUAUAUCUCUCCAUAGAGAAUAUUUAUUUGUUUUGCCAGGUUCUUGGGAACACUAGCAAUCUGGGAUAACAAUAAUUUAACUUCUGGUGUUAGAUGAUUUGGUUUUACGUUUCAGUUCCUAUGAGGACAAUACUAUUUAUAAUAUACCCUUAUUUCUAGGAAUCAGAACUUGGGUAUCCAACAUGAAAUAGCAUAAAGUUUAUUAUACCUUUUUCUACUUUUGAGAGGUUCAAGACUUUAACUUCGUUUCCCCCGAAUCUCACAAAAAUAUCAUUGAUUAGCUUUUUUAUCAUUUAUAUUUGGAUUGGAAAAUGCCCCUAGGGGGAAGGGGUUCCUAGAGUCCAGGCUCAAAUAACUUGAGAUUUGCAUGUUCUCUCUGACUUUGGUCCAGGGCUUUUGUAUCAGCUUUUUCAAUUCUUCAAGUUAAAGGUUUUUUUGUUAACAUAUACUUACCUAUUUACCCAGUCUUUACUGAAAAUAAAAUAUGCUGAUUUGAAAUAAGUAAAAGUAGAUAUCAGAGCUCCAGAAUAGUGGGAUAUGGUGACACCAAGGAUCCAAGGUAGUGUACAUAUCAGUUCAUAGGAGUUUAACCUGAUGAUUAGUAAAGACCAGUCCCUCAAUGUUCCUCAGACAACACCCUGACACUCUGUAAAUCCUCAGGGAAAAAGUUAGAGAAUAAUAUAAAAUUACCUGAGAAAAAUCCACUGUAGAAAUUAAACAUAUAUAAAGAAAAAAUAAAAUUAGUCCUCUAGGGAACCAUGAAACAUAUCUGGGCCCUAAUCUAUGCCUUGUGCCUCAGCAGAAGCAAAUCUGACUAGUAUCCAUGAAGAUGCAGGUUUGAUCCCUGGCCUUGCUCAGUGGGUUAAGGAUCAGGUAUUGCCAUGAGCUGUUGUGUAGGUCACAGACGCUGCUCAGAUCUGGCAUUGCUGUGACUGUGGUAUAGGCUGGCAGCUACAGCUCCAAUUCAACCCCUAGUCUGGGAAGGGAACUUCAAUAUGUCACAGGUGUGGCCCUAGAAAGAAAGAAAGAAAGAAAGAUGUUUUAUGAAUCUGUAAUUUAAUAAAGUUAGCAUUAGUUACAAGUCCUAGUUAUUUAAUCCUCUGUAUUUCAAGAAUUGUGGGAGUUCCCAUGGUGGUGCAGUGGUUAACAAAUCCAACUAGGAACCAUGAAGUUGUGGGUUCGAUCCCUGCCCUUGCUCAGUGGGCUGAGGAUCCGACGUUGCCGUGAGCUGUGGUGUGGGUUGCAGACAUGGCUCGGAUGCUGUGUUGCUGUGGCUCUGGUGUAGGCCGGUGGCUACAGCUCUGAUUGGACCCCUGGCCUGGGAACCUCCAUAUGCUGCAGGAGCAGCUCAAGAAA
Molecule: long non-coding RNA, 3034 nt
Filed under: Sus scrofa (pig)
Lineage: Eukaryota; Metazoa; Chordata; Mammalia; Artiodactyla; Suidae
Description: lncRNA (ENSSSCG00035018228.1)
Source: RNAcentral